AGUGAACGCUGGCGGUAGGCCUAACACAUGCAAGUCGAACGGCAGCACAGUAAGAGCUUGCUCUUACGGGUGGCGAGUGGCGGACGGGUGAGGAAUACAUCGGCAUCUACUUUUUCGUGGGGGAUAAUGUAGGGAAACUUACGCUAAUACCGCAUAUGAUCUACGGGUGAAAGCAGUGGAUCUUCGGACCUUGCGCGACUGAAUUAGCCGAUGUCGGAUUAGCUAGUUGGCGGGGUAAAGUCCCACCAAGGCGACGAUCCGUAGCUGGUCUGAGAGGAUGAUCAGCCACACUGGAACUGAGACACGGUCCAGACUCCUACGGGAGGCAGCAGUAGGGAAUAUUGGGCAAUGGGCGAAAGCCUGACCCAGCCAUACCGCGUGGGUGAUGAAGGCCUUCGGAUCGUAAAGCCCUUUUGUUGGGAAAGAAAAGCAGCAGGUUAAUACCUCGCUGUUCUGACGGUACCCAAAGAGUAAGCACCGGCUAACUUCGUG
Molecule: ribosomal RNA, 492 nt
Filed under: uncultured bacterium
Lineage: Bacteria
Description: partial 16S ribosomal RNA
Rfam family: Bacterial small subunit ribosomal RNA
Source: RNAcentral